AGUGAACGCUGGCGGUAGGCCUAACACAUGCAAGUCGAACGGCAGCACAGGAGAGCUUGCUCUCUGGGUGGCGAGUGGCGGACGGGUGAGGAAUACAUCGGAAUCUACUUUUUCGUGGGGGAUAACGUAGGGAAGCUUACGCUAAUACCGCAUACGACCUACGGGUGAAAGCAGGGGAUCUUCGGACCUUGCGCGAUUGAAUGAGCCGAUGUCGGAUUAGCUAGUUGGCGGGGUAAAGGCCCACCAAGGCGACGAUCCGUAGCUGGUCUGAGAGGAUGAUCAGCCAAACUGGAACGGAGACACGGUCCAGACUCCUACGGGAGGCAGCAGUGGGGAAUAUUGGACAAUGGGCGCAAGCCUGAUCCAGCCAUACCGCGUGGGUGAAGAAGGCCUUCGGGUUGUAAAGCCCUUUUGUUGGGAAAGAAAUCCAGCUGGUUAAUACCCGGUUGGGAUGACGGUACCCAAAGAAUAAGCACCGGCUAACUUCGUGCCAGCCGCCGCCGUAA
RNAcentral lists this ribosomal RNA (506 nucleotides) under uncultured bacterium. Its description in RNAcentral is "partial 16S ribosomal RNA". It matches the Rfam family "Bacterial small subunit ribosomal RNA", at positions 29 to 523 of the family's 1533-position model. The record is from RNAcentral.